GACGGAGGAUGCAAGUGUUAUCCGGAAUUACUGGGCGUAAAGCGCGCGUAGGUGGCUUGAUAAGUUGGAUGUGAAAUCCCCGGGCUCAACCUGGGAACUGCAUCCAAAACUGUCUGGCUAGAGUGUGGUAGAGGGUAGCGGAAUUUCCAGUGUAGCGGUGAAAUGCGUAGAUAUUGGAAGGAACACCAGUGGCGAAGGCGACUACCUGGACUAACACUGACACUGAGGUGCGAAAGCGUGGGGAGCAAACAGG
Molecule: ribosomal RNA, 253 nt
Filed under: uncultured bacterium
Lineage: Bacteria
Description: partial 16S ribosomal RNA
Rfam family: Bacterial small subunit ribosomal RNA
Source: RNAcentral